UCUCCGUAACGCUAAAGUUGACAAUGGAUGCCUUGGGUGUUCAUGCCGAGGAAGGACGCAUACGGCGGCGAUACUCGUCGGGUAGGAGCCAUAAUCCUAUGAUCCGGCGGUUUCCGAAUGGGGAAACCCGUCCCGCUUUGCGGGACAAUCUACUAUAAAGGCGGUCUGCACACCGUGAAUCCAAAUUAGUCUUAUGAGACAAAUAGGACUUAUUGGAUCUAUGGUGUGCAGACUGAGAUAGUAGUAGGUGGGGUACCGUCCGAACUGAAACAUCUCAGUAGGACGAGGAAAAUAAAUCAAGUACGAGAUUCCGUUAGUAGCGGCGAGCGAAAGCGGAAGAGCCUAAACCCAGUCAUUGUCCCGCUAUACGGGAUCGACCGGGGGUUGCAGGGCUUCUGACAUGGGAUGAGAUGCGGGUAGCAGAACUGCUUGGAAUAGCAGACCAAAGAACGUGAAAGUCGUGUACGCAAAACUCAAGUCUCCCCUAGGGAGUUCCUAAGUACCAUGGGACACGAAGGUUCUGUGGGAAUCUGGGUCAACCACGAUCCAAGGCUAAAUACAUGAACACACCGAUAGUGAACAAGUACCGUGAGGGAAAGGUGAAAAGCACCCCGGAAGGGGAAUGAAAUAGUACCUGAAAUUGUCAACUAACAAACAGACAGAGUCCCGCUUUGCGGGAUAAUGUCGUGCCUAUUGAAGAAUGAACCGGUGAGUUACCAAUGAUUUUGCAAGUCUAACCCCGCUAAGCGGGGGGAGGCGAAGUGAAAGCGAGCCCUAACAGGGCGACAAUCAAGCAGACAUUGGUAGACCCGAAACCAGGUGAGCUAACCAUGGGCAGGGUGAACCCCGCCGAAAGGCUGGGGGAGGCCCGAACUCGUCAGAGCUGCAAAUCUGUGAGAUGACCUGUGGUUAGGGGUAAUAUGCCUAUCGAACCUGGAGAUAGCUGGUUCUCCCCGAAAUAUAUUUUGGUAUAGCGCCCGAUAAAAUUUUUGCUGGGGUAGAGCACUCAAUGAAUUAUCAAGCGCAAGCAAGAUGAUUCAAUGAAACUCCGAAUACAGACAAAAUUACUCGGGCAGUCAGACAUGCUCGGCUAAGCGAGUGUGUCUAAAGGGAAACAGCCCAGACUUUCGUCUAAGGCCUCUAAAUUUAUGCUCAGUGGUUAAGGAUGUCAUGGUUUACAGACACCCAGGAGGUUGGCUUAGAAGCAGCCAUCCUUUAAAGAAAGCGUAACAGCUCACUGGAUGAAAACCGUGGCGCCGAAAAUGAUCGAGGCUAAGCAUAGUGCCGAAGACAGAGAUGCUUGUGCGUAGCACAAGCGUGGUAGGGGAGCGUCCCGCCAACAGUGAAGCCUACGCCGUAAGGCGGGGUGGAGUGGGCGGGAGUGAGAAUGCCGGUAUGAGUAGCGUUUGAAGGUGAGAAUCCUUCAUGCCGAAUGCGCAAGGUUUCCGAAGCAACGUUCGUCGACUUCGGGUAAGUCGGAUCUAAGGCGAGUCCUGCUUAACGCAGGGGUAGCUCGAUGUAGAAACGGUUGAUAUUCCGUUACAGAGAUAUGCUGAUUAAGACUCAAAGGAAUGACAAAGAAGGAUGUGUGUAUAGGUCGAUUCGUUGGCCUUUAAGCUCUAAGACAGUGAGGACAGGGAAAUCCGUUUUCACGUUCAAUUGAGGAGCGAAUAGGAGUCCAAUCCGCAAGGGGCGGGCAACAUACAUAGUUUUUCUUUCGAGAAAAGUUUCGUUGAGGAGCAUGUUUCUUCCGUACCGCAAACCGACACUGGUGCGCCGGUAGAGAAUACCAAGGCAAGCGGGCGACAAUGGUUCAAGGAACUCGGCAACAAAAACUAGGCGUAACCUAUGGGAGAUGCCUUGCCCCGAGCAAUCGGGGCCGCAGUUAAUGACGCUAAGCGACUGUUUAACUAAAACACAGGUCUCUGCAAAGCCGAAAGGCAAUGUAUAGGGGCUGACACCUGCCCAGUGCCGGUAAGUUAAAAAAGGUUGGUGAUCCCGAGCAAUCGGGAAAGCCGAUUUUUUAAGCUCCGGUGAACGGCAGCAGUAACUAUAAAAUACAGUUUUGUAGUUGUAAAAGUUGACUAAAUGCUGGAAGAGCCGUACCGUCGUCGUUAGACGAACGGUUGAAGUAUCUGACGCUACCCCCGCCAUCUAUGCUAAUAUGAUGGUAGGCGGGGGUAACAAUGCGAUCAGUGCGGCAAAUCAGCAGGAAAGACUUGAAUAAGGAAGAACUUGGCUAUUUCUUAGCCGGGUUUGUAGAAGGUGAGGGGAGUUUUAACGUUUCGUUACGGCGGAAAGCUGACUAUAAAGUCAACUGGCAAGUCGUGAUGAGCUUUAAUGUUUCACAGAAGGAUCCGACGAUAUUACAAAUAUUGAAGGAUACACUCAAGUGCGGCAUUAUUAAGGUUCGGAAGCGAGACGGACUCUAUUCAUUUGAUGCUACAAAUCCGGAAGAUUUAAUCAAGCGCGUUAUUCCAUAUUUUCGAAAAUAUUCGGUCCUUUCCGAAUCAAAGAAGCGAAAUUUUGCGAUUUUUUGCAAAAUUGCCGAUUUGAUGGAGAAAGGGGAGCACAGAACUCAGGCCGGAUUAAAGAAAAUCCUAUUUCUUCGGGAAACAAUCAACGAAGGAAAAGGACGAACUCGAAAAUAUGAUAUUGACGAUGUAUUUCCUCUUCAAGAAUCCUCAGAGACUACACGUCAACCCCCGAAAUAAUCGGGGAUGAUAUAGUCCGACCUCAUGGGCGACCAUGAGAUUACGUAACCAACCGUAAUAUAUAACAAAGUGAACUGUUCUAUGGUAGAUUUUUCGCUGCCAUAGUGAGGUAGUCAAACCUCUCUUAUAUUCAUCGUGCAAAAGGAAAGUGAAUAUGAGAAAAAUUGUGCUAUAUGCUGGAAUAACUCGUGUAUCCGACAAUACCUAUAAAGGUAACAAUUUGUUCGGUGGAGUCAAUCAGCAGGAAAGACCCCGACAUUAUGUCGGGAAAUCCUCAACGACUAUACGCACAACCCCGAAGAAAUCGGGGAAGAUAUAGUCUGAUCUCCGAUGCGAAUCGGAGUUAACAAAUGUAUUGAGCGAAGUUCCUUGUCGGGCAAGUUCCGACCCGCACGAAAGGUAGAACGACUUAGCGACUGUCUUGAACCAUUACCCGGCGAAAUUGAAAUGGCUGUGAAGAUGCGGCCUACUCGCACUUGGACAAAAAGACCCCGUGGAGCUUUACUGCAACUUGGCACUGAGGACCUUAUUUUGACUGUCGAGCGUAGGUGGGAGGGACGUACCAUUCGGUACAUCCCGCCAAUGGAACACCACUCUUCGAAAUUGGGAAAUCUAACUUAUCCCGACAUAAAAAUCUCGGGAGAGAACACUGUCUGGUGGGCAGUUUAACUGGGGAGGUUGCCUCCAAAAAAGUAACGGAGGCGUACAAAGGUUGGCUAACCCUGAAUGGAAACCAGGGCUUGUCGUGCAAACGCAGUAAGCCAGCCUGACUGCGAGACAUACAAGUCGAGCAGACGCGAAAGCGGGUGUUAGUGAUCCUCGGAUCCCUCGUGGGAGGGACCGGGCUUAACGGAUAAAAGCUACCCCGGGGAUACAAUCUGUGUCCUUCUUCAUAGCAAUAUGAAGAGAGAGAAUACGGCUAAUAACGGUGAAGCCUACAUUGCGGAAGGGUUUAGGAUAUCUUUUUCCCUUCAUGAGGCGCAAUUUUUGGUAAUACCGUGGGAAGUCGCAUAGAUCGGAAGACUCAGAAUACUCAGAAUGUCAGAAAAUUCAGAAUUCCAGAAUAAUCAGAAGAUCUGAUAAGAUAAAAACUAUGUUACGGGACGUAACAGACUUGUCAGGCGAUGAGCUUGUUACUCAUCUGCGGAUGAUUGCGAUUACAGUUAAAAGAUUAUUUUUUGAAGCAAAGGAGCUUGGUGAAGCAUAUAAAGUUCUAUCGAAGCGCAUUAACAAACUUUAUUCUAUCUGGAAGUCUGGUAAUUUCUGACUCUCUGAAAAUCAGAUUUUCUGAGUCAUUCUGAGUUUUCCGAAUCUGUGUUGACCCCGUAUCGACUGAUUUCCAUUCGUUUAAAAACGAAUCGGAAUGAGAUAGCUCAAUAGUUCAUCACGAGUUAUCAGACGCCGUACCCCCGCUAUCAUGUCGUCAGAACGACACCAGCGGGGUGAAGAUAUAGUCAACACCGGAACGCAAGUUUCGGAUUAUUACUCAUUUAUUUGAGAAAUGUGAACAGGCUGAUCGCUUCCGAGAGUCCAUAUCGACGAGGCGGUUUGGCACCUCGAUGUCGGCUCAUCCUAUCCUGGGGCUGGAGAAGGUCCCAAGGGUCCGGCUGUUCGCCGGUUAAAAGGGUACGCGAGCUGGGUUCAGAACGUCGUGAGACAGUAGACCUAUAGUCAGUGACAUGACUAUAAAUGAGCUGUCCAUCCCUUAACGUUUUGAAUUUCGAGAAAAAUAAGGGAAGCCUAUAAAGGUUAUAAAUCUGACUAAAUGCUGGAAACUCUGAGAAUCUUAAAGUACGUAUUUAUACGUGACAAUCUUUAAGUGCAGACAAUCAGCAGGGAAGAUCCUGAGUUUAUCGAAGGAGACCCUCAGAGACUAUACGUCAGAACCAGCCUCUCGUGAGAAGCUGGUAAGAUAUAGUCCGAACUGUAUGGCGACAUACAGACUGCAGCAGAAAUGUGUGCAGUCCCGUCUUCAUCAUAAAUAUGAAGUAUUGGCGGGAUAACAUAUUUGUCGGUCUCUAUCCAGUGCGAGCGUUCGAUUCUUGAGGGGAGCUCUCCGUAGUACGAGAGGACCCGGAGGGACAGAUCCCUGGUGUGCCAAUUGUCGGAAAACCGGCACCGUUGGGUAGCUAGAUCUGGAAGGGAUAAGCGCUGAAAGCAUCUCAAGCGCCAAGCCCACCCCAAGAUGAAGAAUCGUCACAAGACCCCCAGAAGAUUACUGGGUUUCCCGCUAUUAAGCUCACUGGUGUUCGCUCCAGCGGGACUUUACCGUCCUGUUGGUUAGAACGUCUUUGAACAAGGGAACCCCGAUGGUGUGAGCCGCAAGGCGAACAUGAUAUCGGGGGAUAGGCGAGAAGUGUACGCGCCGCAAGGCGUUUAGCUUACUCGUACUAAUCGGUCGAAGUUAUUGAGAAU
This 5129-nucleotide ribosomal RNA is filed under the name Patescibacteria group bacterium. RNAcentral describes it as "23S ribosomal RNA". It matches the Rfam family "Bacterial large subunit ribosomal RNA". The record is from RNAcentral.